RNAcentral lists this ribosomal RNA (498 nucleotides) under uncultured bacterium. RNAcentral describes it as "partial 16S ribosomal RNA". It matches the Rfam family "Bacterial small subunit ribosomal RNA", at positions 29 to 523 of the family's 1533-position model. The record is from RNAcentral.
AUUGAACGCUGGCGGCAUGCUUUACACAUGCAAGUCGAACGGUAACAGGCCGCAAGGUGCUGACGAGUGGCGAACGGGUGAGUAAUGCAUCGGAACGUGCCCAGUCGUGGGGGAUAACGCAGCGAAAGCUGUGCUAAUACCGCAUACGAUCUAUGGAUGGAAGCGGGGGACCGUAAGGCCUCGCGCGAUUGGUGCGGCCGAUGUCAGAUUAGGUAGUUGGUGGGGUAAAGGCCUACCAAGCCGACGAUCUGUAGCUGGUCUGAGGGGACGACCAGGCACACUGGGACGGAGACACGGCCCAGACUCCUACGGGAGGCAGCAGUGGGGAAUUUUGGACAAUGGGCGCAAGCCUGAUCCAGCAAUGCCGCGUGCAGGAAGAAGGCCUUCGGGUUGUAAACUGCUUUUGUACGGAACGAAACGGUCUGGGUUAAUACCCUGGGCUAAUGACGGUACCGUAAGAAUAAGCACCGGCUAACUACGUGCCAGCAGCCGCCGCGG